Humulus lupulus (European hop) is the source of this 183-nucleotide long non-coding RNA. RefSeq lists it as uncharacterized. The transcript is spliced from 3 exons. Lineage: Eukaryota; Viridiplantae; Streptophyta; Magnoliopsida; Rosales; Cannabaceae. The record is from RefSeq and is a predicted model, not a curated record.
GAAUUAUUGGUCAAACUGCUUUAAAUGGGAAGUACCAAUGGAUUCAAGCUGAUGGGCCAAGUGGGGAAUGGAAUUCUUUCAGAUCUACUGAAAAUAAACACACAUUUCAGGAUGAUUCUGAGGUUUGCUAUCAGUUUUCCUCUGGAAUAAAGACCAUUGUGGUAGUACCGGUUGAACCACGAG